CCUACGGGAGGCUGCAGUGGGGAAUAUUGGACAAUGGGCGAAAGCCUGAUCCAGCAACGCCGCGUGAGGGAUGAAUGCCUUCGGGUUGUAAACCUCUUUCAGCGCAGACGAAGCGAAAGUGACGGUAUGCGCAGAAGAAGCACCGGCCAACUACGUGCCAGCAGCCGCGGUAAUACGUAGGGUGCGAGCGUUGUCCGGAAUUAUUGGGCGUAAAGGGCUCGUAGGCGGUCUGUUGCGUCAGGAGUGAAAACUCGGGGCUUAACCCCGAGCCUGCUUCUGAUACGGGCAGACUAGAGGUAUGCAGGGGAGAACGGAAUUCCUGGUGUAGCGGUGAAAUGCGCAGAUAUCAGGAGGAACACCGGUGGCGAAGGCGGUUCUCUGGGCAUUACCUGACGCUGAGGAGCGAAAGUGUGGGGAGCGAACAGGAUUAG
This 431-nucleotide ribosomal RNA is filed under the name uncultured bacterium. RNAcentral describes it as "bacterial SSU rRNA". It matches the Rfam family "Bacterial small subunit ribosomal RNA", at positions 338 to 781 of the family's 1533-position model. The record is from RNAcentral.